AGCGGACCGACGGGAGCUUGCUCCCUUAGGUCAGCGGCGGACGGGUGAGUGACACGUGGGUAACCUGCCUGUAAGACUGGGAUAACUCCGGGAAACCGGGGCUAAUACCGGAUGCUUGAUUGAACCGCAUGGUUCCAAUCAUAAAAGGUGGCUUUUAGCUACCACUUACAGAUGGACCCGCGGCGCAUUAGCUAGUUGGUGAGGUAACGGCUCACCAAGGCGACGAUGCGUAGCCGACCUGAGUGGGUGAUCGGCCACACUGGGACUGAGACACGGCCCAGACUCCUACGGGAGGCAGCAGUAGGGAAUCUUCCGCAAUGGACGAAAGUCUGACGGAGCAACGCCGCGUGAGUGAUGAAGGUUUUCGGAUCGUAAAACUCUGUUGUUAGGGAAGAACAAGUACCGUUCGAAUAGGGCGGCACCUUGACGGUACCUAACCAGAAAGCCACGGCUAACUACGUGCCAGCAGCCGCGGUAAUACGUAGGUGGUAAGCGUUGUCCGGAAUUAUUGGGCGUAAAGCGCGCGCAGGCGGUUUCUUAAGUCUGAUGUGAAAGCCCCCGGCUCAACCGGGGGGGGUCAUUGGAAACUGGGGAACUUGAGUGCAGAAGAGGAGAGUGGAACUCCACGUGUAGCGGUGAAAUGCGUAGAGAUGUGGAGGUACACCAGUGGCGAAGGCGACUCUCUGGUCUGUAACUGACGCUGAGGCGCGAAAGCGUGGGGAGCGAACAGG
RNAcentral lists this ribosomal RNA (731 nucleotides) under uncultured Bacilli bacterium. RNAcentral describes it as "bacterial SSU rRNA". It matches the Rfam family "Bacterial small subunit ribosomal RNA", at positions 65 to 776 of the family's 1533-position model. The record is from RNAcentral. Lineage: Bacteria; Bacillati; Bacillota; Bacilli.